Helianthus annuus (common sunflower) is the source of this 2048-nucleotide RNA transcript. RefSeq lists it as uncharacterized. The record is from RefSeq and is a predicted model, not a curated record. The transcript has 3 exons. Lineage: Eukaryota; Viridiplantae; Streptophyta; Magnoliopsida; Asterales; Asteraceae.
GCGCAUCUCAUACAAUCCUUGCUUUCUUACAAUCCCCAAAUCUCAUUUCAAAAUUCAAAUCCACAGCUCCCUUCCCUUUUCAUUCUCUCUCCGAUUUUGGAUCUGGAUCUGCUUUUUCUUUGCCUUGCGUUCACCAUAAGCCACUACUCCAUGGCUGUUCGAGACACCUUCUCUCAGAUGGUUAACAUGGUGGGGGAUGGGGAUGACUAUUUCAGACACCUUCCUCCUGAUGUAACAUGUUAGAGACACCUUAGUUGCCGCAUUUUCGCUUCAAUUCAGGUUUGUUCUUUCAAUUUCGUUAUUUUAUCGGAUUGCGUAUUCAAUCAAAAAAGGUUAUUAGCGUUCGUGAUCAUUUGUUUUCUGUACAUUAUUUCAGCAUUUGAAUAACUAACCUCUUACCUUAAAUUUGCUUGGAAUGAUUCGUUCUAUUGAUUAAUUAUUUCUAUUAAGUGAUUCUGUGUUUAUCUUUUAAUUUGGUUUUGCUCUAAGAAUUCACUUUAGAAACGAGAAAAGUUCAAUCUGAUCGUGUCAUGUUUGGUAACUCAUUAAUGUUUACUCUAUGCGUAAUGUUUCAAAACUGAACGGCCAGCGGUUCAAGCAAUGCAAUGCUUACCUUUUAGGGUGAGUUGUAUCACUUAACUCAAACCUUUGUAAUUUCCUUAGGGUGUGAGAUAAAGAUUGAUAAUUAAACUAUUUAGUAUUAGAUUGUGGAGAAUUAAAGGAUGCGUAACUCAUGGACCGUGGGGUGGUUCACAGGGGAAAAGAUGGGUUUAUAUGCCUCAAGGCUCUUUUGAAAAGAUAAUCAUUCAACAUGGAACUGUUGUUGACUCCAUUAAAUUCCAAACCAAGUGCAGCAAAGGUGAACCUCAAAGCUUUUUCUUUGGUGGUAAGGUUUAUUGGACUGGCAGCGAAGUAGACACGGUAAUUUUUGCAGUUUACCAGUGUUUUAGGAAUCAUUGAGGGCAUUACGGAAGGCUGCAUUUAUAGUAAUCUGAAGCUCCUUUCUCUAUUUUCCACUAAUUUAUUGCCUUCAUUGAUAGUUUUCAAUUAAACCGUGAAACUUGAAAUGAUCUUUCUUUAUUAUGACAAUCCAAACCAUGAAUUUUUUAAUCAUUAAUAGUAAUACGAAUCUGAAUCUCCUUUCUUUAUUAUGACACAGAGGGGUUCGAAAGUAUAGGGAAAUCAAACGUCUAUGAUGAUAGGCGUUACACAAAUAUAUUCUUUAUCUUUUUACUCAAACAAAUGUGUUAGGUGAAAAAAACAAACAAACAAAACAUUUUUUCUUACAUACAAUGACAAAAAGGUGAAAGUAAGUUACAUAUUGGUUAAUAGAUUUCCGUUAUACUUAUUUUAUUUGCUUUAUUUUGUUUCAUUGGUGUUUUACUCUUUAUAGGCCAAACGGGCCUAUUCAAGCAUUCCCACAUGCCAGAUGGAUCUCCUGAUGUGUAUGUUCACCCUAUGAUGCGUUCUUCACAUUUAAUGCCCAAUUCUCUCAAUUUGCACCCAACCAGUUGGGUCAACAGCAGCGAUUCAGUCACGGACGGUCAAUGGGUGCUCGUGGUGGCGAAUGGAAUCAUGUCAAGGUCCAGCCCCCACUUUCCAAUUACAGCUCAGCGGGUCAACGUUCCCACGGAAGCAACAACAAUGCGCCAUGGGGGCGUAGGGGCAACCAUCCGAUAGCGACCAAUAUUAUACCAUCUUCACAUGGUGGAAACGAAUAUGGAAGGAUUGCAUGAUGGUUACAGUUUGAAAUUUUAUAUAGAAAAUAUGGACUCUAAGGAAGGAAUGUUGUGAUGAUAACUGGUAGUUGAAGUAUGACUUAUGGAUGUGCAUUCAUAGUGAAUUUUUUUUUACUUAAGACUUAUGAAACUGGCUUCCUUCUAUUUCUUCAUUUGUUGCUAUUUUUAUUUCUUCUUUUCUGGGAUGUCGAAAACAAGUAGGCGUAAAAGGGUUUGUUCAUUUUUGUUUUAAUUUAAUUGUUUUAUUUGUGAAAAAUGCUCGAUGAUCACUUUGCUUGUAAUAGCAACUUAUGUCAAUGUUGGACUAAA